RNAcentral lists this ribosomal RNA (527 nucleotides) under uncultured bacterium. RNAcentral's name for it is "bacterial SSU rRNA". It matches the Rfam family "Bacterial small subunit ribosomal RNA", at positions 54 to 573 of the family's 1533-position model. The record is from RNAcentral.
CAUGCAAGUCGAGGGGCAGCAUAAUGGUAGUAAUACUAUUGAUGGCGACCGGCGGACGGGUGCGUAACGCGUAUGCAACCUACCCUUUACAGGGGGAUAACACUGAGAAAUCGGUACUAAUACCCCAUAAUAUUCUGGGAGGCAUCUUUCGGAGUUGAAAGCUUUGGUGGUAAAGGAUGGGCAUGCGUUGUAUUAGCUAGUUGGUAAGGUAACGGCUUACCAAGGCGACGAUACAUAGGGGGACUGAGAGGUUAACCCCCCACAUUGGUACUGAGACACGGACCAAACUCCUACGGGAGGCAGCAGUGAGGAAUAUUGGUCAAUGGACGGAAGUCUGAACCAGCCAUGCCGCGUGCAGGAAGACGGCUCUAUGAGUUGUAAACUGCUUUUGUACGAGGGUAAACGCAGAUACGUGUAUCUGCCUGAAAGUAUCGUACGAAUAAGGAUCGGCUAACUCCGUGCCAGCAGCCGCGGUAAUACGGAGGAUCCAAGCGUUAUCCGGAUUUAUUGGGUUUAAAGGGUGCGUA